This 564-nucleotide long non-coding RNA is filed under the name Homo sapiens (human). RNAcentral's name for it is "non-protein coding lnc-GGCT-1:8". The record is from RNAcentral. Lineage: Eukaryota; Metazoa; Chordata; Mammalia; Primates; Hominidae.
ACAAAACCCGGAAGGACCCCGCCGAAGGUUUUCUCCGGUUCGGGAGAGAGACGGAGUCCCGCUCUGUCACGCAGGCUGCCAGGCUGGCGUACAGUGGCGCAAUCUCAGCUCGCUGCAACCUCCACCUCCUGGGUUCAAGCGAUUUUCUUGCCUCUGCCUCCUGAGUAGCUGGGAUUACUGGCACACACCACCAUGCACAGUUCCUUGUUCAAAAUGCCAAGAACCUGGAUGACUCAUAGUCAAGACCCUCCACCAGUAACAUAUAUUGGCGAGCCAGCCAGGAGCUUGGAACCCUCGGUGGACAGUGCCUAAGCACAGAGGCAACCACAGGUUUCUAACAGGGCCACUCUCUGGUGAAACUGAAAGGUUUCUGUGUGAAAGUGCCUGACCACCACUGCCCAAUUCAGUUGCAGGAAUUUAGCCAAUUCAGAGGUCUUGUUCUCCAUAAUUUGGAAUUUUCCUUCGGAUUUGAUCAAGUUGGAUAGAGUUGGUCAAACCCAAUGGGAAAAAGAUGAAAACAACAAGAAACAGAAACAAACAGCAACAACAACAACAACAAAAACA